RNAcentral lists this unclassified non-coding RNA (9841 nucleotides) under Homarus americanus (American lobster). RNAcentral's name for it is "intersectin-1-like, transcript variant X2". Lineage: Eukaryota; Metazoa; Arthropoda; Malacostraca; Decapoda; Nephropidae. The record is from RNAcentral.
UGGUCAAUACGGUGUGUGGGACGGUCCGGGAUGACGUGAGUUAACACUACACUACACCUCUCAAGGCUCUUCACGUAAAGUGUCCUAAGUGCAAGAACGAAUGCAAAUAUCGUCAAGACCAGCAUAUGUGUCAUUGUGGUAACGCCAACGACGGACAAGAACCAGGCCAAUAAGAUGGCUGAUCCAUGGGUGGUAACACCUGGUGAACGAACAAAACAUGAGGAACAGUUUAAUACUAUACGGCCCACAGGUGGGUUCAUCACUGGUGACCAGGCAAAGGGAUUUUUCCUCCAAUCUCGUUUGCCUCCGCCAGUAUUGGGCAUCAUCUGGGCCUUGUCUGAUGUUGAUGGUGAUGGGAAGAUGAAUCUCCAUGAGUUCAGCAUUGCCUGUAAACUUAUCAACUUAAAACUACGUGGGUUUAGUCUCCCACAAUCACUACCUGCAACUCUGAAGCAAUCUGCCUGUGGAGCCAAUGUAAUGGCAGCAGCUCCUGCCCCAGUAGUGGGCACUUCUACGGGAUAUGGGACGCCUGGCACUGUUGGGGUGGGAAUAGCAGGUCUUGUGGGUCUUGAUAAUGGCCUUUCAGUCACCCCUGCCAGGGCUCCUGGUCCAGUUAUGUCACCUGUGGUUAUUUCGGCCUCUGUACCUCCUGCUGCUGCCCCUGUUUCAGCCUCUUUUCCUGUUGCUGCAGUCUCAGCCCCAGCUGUUUUGGCACCUCUAUCAAUGGCUGCAACACCACCUGUGGCUGCAAUACCACCUAUGGCUGCAGCUUCAAGUAGCAUAUCUAAUUCUAUGUCAGGAACAGCACCUGGGAUCAUUCCUGGUACAACUAUAAGGUAUACUGCAGUUACUUCACUAGGCAAUAUACCUGGUGUAGUACCUGGAGCCAUGCCUGGGCAUGUGGUAGGAAGUAUGUCUUGUGCAUUCUCUGGAACAGCAGCAGGGGCUGGGCAAGGCUCAGUGGUGGCAACUAUGCCUUCAACUGUCCCUCCAGCUCAUGAUCCUGCGACUGUUGCUGUAGAUGCUUAUGUUAGCCCUGUGGGUGCUGUACCCACUGCACCACUUGUGGGAAGUAUGAUGGCUGGAGGUGCCCCAAUGAGACCUGUGCAGUCAAUGGUGACAGGUGGUGUGCCAUUGGCAGGAAUGGCCCCUCAGAUGGUCCCGGCACAGCCCUUAGUACCUAUGGCUCCAACAUCUGUGCCUGCAACAUAUGUCCCUCCAAUAUCUAUGGCUCCAACACCAGUGGCAGCAGCACCUUUAGUUUCAGCACCCAUGGUGCAAACCAUUUCCUCAGUAUCACAACCAGUACAUCCUGUACUGCCAAUACAGACAGUGCACCCAGUACAGCCAGUGCACCCAGUACAGCCAGUGCACCCAGCACAGCCAGUGCAGCUGGGGGGCAUGAUUCCUCCUAUGAGCAAUGAAGUAGCUCCAGUACCAGCAGGAAAUGUUCCACUUGCAGCAUCAGUAGCACCAGGAACUUCGGCAGCUCCUACUGGGGCUGCAGUGCAACGAACAGGCAGCCAAGAUUCAGGUGGUUCCCAAACACCUGUUGAGUGGGCUGUACCUCAGGCAAGCAAACUCAGGUUUACGCAGGUGUUUAAUAUGUCAGACAGAGCCAAGACUGGAUACUUGUCUGGAGUACAGGCAAGAAAUAUUCUUAUUCAGUCUCAUCUGCCUCAGCAGAUACUAGCACAAAUAUGGGCACUGGCUGAUGUGGAUAAUGAUGGUCGUUUGUCAAGUGAAGAAUUUGUGUUAGCUAUGUACCUGUGUGAGACAGCUAAAGCAGGAAACAAGCUACCUGCCAUACUGCCAGCAGAGUUGAUACCCCCUACCAAUCGCCGCCAACGAACUUCAAGUGUUCAUUCCACCAGCUCAGCCGGCACUCCAGUUACUGAUGUCUUAGGUAUCAAUGAUAACACAUUUGAGGACAAAAGACGAGAGAACUUUGAGAAAGGACAAGCUGAAUUAGAAAGAAGACGUAAAGCCCUUCUUGAUGCCCAAAGACGGGAAACUGAGGAAAGGCUUCGCAGAGAACGUGAGGAGGAAGCAAAAAGAGAAAAGGCCCGACAAGAAGCAGAGAGACGACGGCAGGAAGAAUUAGAACGAGAGAUGCACCGGCAACGUGAAAUGGAGGCACAAAGAGAACAGGAGAGAAAACGACAAGAAGAGUUGAGGGAACAAGCCCGCAAAGAUGCUGAGCUCCAGAGACAACAGGAAUGGGAGAAACAGAGAUUGCAGGAAUUGAUGAAUGUAAGACAGAGGCAACAAGAAAACCUCCUGUCUCUUAAAGCUAAAAAUCAGAGUUUGUCCAUAGAACUUACAACUAAGGAGGACCGAGUAAAAGAACUAACUCAAAAAAUCAGUGAGACCCGUCAGGGAGUGACUGAAGUAAAAGCAACAAUUGAUACAAUGCGAUCUACUCGAGAUACAUACAUGUCGGAUAUGAAUCAACUUAAGGCAGCAGCACGAGACCAGAAUCAAAGGCUAUUAGCUCUUAAUCAAGAAAAAGCUCGGUUGAAGGCACGUAACACAGCAGCUGCUGGAGCUAGUGGGGCUGAACAGGCAGCAGUUGAUGCUUCACUUACUAGCAAGCAGAUGGUUAUUAGGCAGCUGCAGGAAAAGGUUGAAGAACUUCAAAAAGAGUUGUCAUCAAAAGAAGAAGAUGUGAACAAUAAUGUUACUGACCUUUCUUUAAUGAAAGAUGACAUGCAUGUAACAGCAGAAAAGUGUGCACAGAUCUUCAUUGAGUAUUCUGCUAAACGUAAAGAGGUGCUGAGUCUGCGAGAGAAGCUGGUUAAUCCGGAUGCUGCGUGGGGUGAUGCUGCCAGCUCAACUUGGGCAGGUAAAGGGAUUGGUGGUGGUGGGGCUAGUGCCUGGAAUAGUGCAUGGCCCCCAAGUCAGCCCAAAGAUGCAUGGCCCAGUAGCGGAGCUGAUGGUAGUGGCGCCCCCACCAGUAGUCUACAGCCUCUACAGGAACAGCAGGAACACUCGGCAGAACAACAUCAACCUCCAGUACGCCCCCCGCCCCCUUCCACAACCACCACCACCACUGCCAUCAUGCCCUCUGUGGCCGCCACUGGCACUGUAAAUGAGAAGCCGGCAGUACCCCCAGCCCCCCGGGAAGUUGAGGGCUUCAACACCACCAACUCCACUACCAUCACCAACAGUACCAGUGCUGUGGGCUGGGGGGUCCACAAUACCACACCCCCCUCUUCCUCCACCACCACCAUAGCCCCUUGGGGGAUGUUCUCCACCACUACCACCACCACCCCAUCUACCACUUCCACCACACACCCAGAUGAGCCUGAAAAUAAGGAGCCAGUAGUAGCUAAAGAAAACGCAGAGGGUGUUGUACGUCGCCGUGUGCUGUAUCAGUUUGAUGCUCGUAACCAUGACGAAAUUAGCAUUAUGCCAGGAGAUAUUGUUGUUGUAACAUUGCACGAAGGAGUGGAACCAGGUUGGCUUGGAGGCGAGCUUCGUGGCCAGACUGGGUGGUUCCCUAAAGAUUACACUGAACUUAUUGAUGAGAAAGAAGAGGCAGAAGCUGCAACGGAUUCUAUUGUCCGUACACAGUUAGAGAAUAUCCCAGAAGAAGCUGUAACUGCUGUGGUCGGACAACAAAAGGUGAUAGGUGAUGCUGUAGGAGUGUUCCCAUGGAGAGCGAAGCAGAGAAACCACUUGUCAUUCAAUAAGGGUGAUCGUAUUACAGUUAGAGAAAAACAGGAUCAAUGGUGGUAUGGCGAGUUGAAUAAUGUUGGGGGUUGGUUCCCCCGAUCAUUUGUGCGAAUGGUGUCGGGUCCUGCUGCUGUCACAUCUCCAGCGACAACCCCACAGGAGGCCCCUGAGGAACCUCCAAUGCCUGACAACCUAGUCCAUGAUGAAGUGUCAGAGUUUUAUCAGGCUUUAUACCCAUACCAGUCAGGAGAACCAGGAGAUCUGACGUUUAAUGCUGGAGAAGUUAUCUUAGUAGUGAAGAAGGAGGGAGACUGGUGGCACGGAGUAAUCAACCAGAACUGUGGUAUCUUCCCAUCCAAUUACGUUGAACUUCUUCCUAAUCAGUUUAUUACAAGUACUGGAGACAAUGUUGCGGAACAGAGCGUUGUGGUGGCUGCUUCGGAGGAGCAGGUGGCAGUAGGAGAAAAGCAGUCAGAGCCAGAGGAACAAGUGGUAGCCCCUGAAGAUUAUAAAGAGGAGCAGCAGAUAAAGCCAACAGCAAACUCUGCCACAGUACAGACCCCUGACUCUGCUAAUCUCAAAGUUAAUCAGGACGACGAACUUGAAAACAAGGAGGUGAUGGAGCUUGCUAAGUCACCGAAAUCACCGAAGGGAAGCAAAGGGAAGAAGCCAGAGAUAGCAACAGUACUUGCUCCGUAUGAUGCCACAAGUAGCAACCAACUCAAUCUACAACGGGGACAACUGGUGAUGAUCCGCAAGAAGACAGCCUCUGGUUGGUGGGAGGGAGAACUCCAGGCUAAAGGCAAGAAACGUCAAAUUGGAUGGUUCCCUGCCACCUACGUAAAAGUCUUGGGUGGAUCUUCUCGUUCCACUCCAGUCUCAAUGGAGUUGACUAAUCGAGAGGACGCUCCUCCAGAUGACAUCCAAACCCCACCAAACACAACUGCCUCUUUAACACAAGUCACUAUUACUCCACCCACUGAUGAACCCAUGAAAGGCCCAAAUGAUGCCUCAAAUGGAUUUGCAGAACAAGUAGAAGCACUGUACCCAUACACUGCAAUGAAUGAAGAUGAGCUCACAUUUGAAGCUGGUGCCAUAAUCUCUGUGAUAGACAAGGAAGAUGCAGCUUGGUGGAAAGGAACUGUUGAAGGUGCUAUUGGUGUCUUCCCCUCCAAUUACGUUCAGCCAUACGCUAGUGUUUUUGCUGUGACUCUUGCCGGGACUCCAGAUGGAGAAGACUCCUUGUGCUUCCCAGUCACCACAAAAGUCUCAAUAAUCCAGACAUCGGACAGCUCUGAGUCAUGGACUGACUUUAGUACCACCAACUUUGACCAUGGAAGGUCUGGGAGGUGGGAAGACAUGUCAUCUGUAUUCGGCACCGGAAGUGCCACAGUUAGUGGCUCAGAUGACAGAAGCCAACAAAGUGAAAGCUUUAACUACAGCAGAAGUAGAACAAGUUGCCACUUCUCACCAUCAUCUCCGAUGGAACAGAAGCGUCAAAAUGUAAUUCAGGAAAUAAUCGAUACAGAGGCUACAUAUCUCAAGGAACUAUUAUUAGUUGAACAGGCUUUUAUUAAACCCAUGCGUGGCUCUAGCAUCAUCAACGAGAAGGAAGUUGACCUGUUGUUUGUGAACUGGAAUGAAUUGAUUCUGGUUAACUCAUAUUUUAAUAAAGCUUUAAAAGUACGGUGUAUGAACAGCAGUAAUGGUGUUAUUACCAUGAUUGCAGAUGUUUUGUGUCAACAGAUAAGCCAGUUAACACCAUACUUGAGGUUCUGCAGUAUUCAGAUUCGAGGUGCAACUUUGUUAGGAGAAAAAUGUGGUUCUGGGGGACAAUGGGCAGACCUGGUGAAGCAGUGUCAGGAGCACCCUGCUGUCCAAGGUCUCACUCUUACUUCUUUUCUACUAAAGCCAAUGCAGAGAAUAACAAGAUAUCCACUAUUAAUCAAACAGUUAUUGAAAUACACUCCUGAAGGACACCCUGACUACUAUAACACACAGGAGGCAUUAACUGCCUCUGAAACUCUCUGUGCUCAAGUCAAUGAGGCAGUGAGUCAAAGGGAUAACACUGAUAAGUUGGAGUGGAUGCAGCGACAUGUAGUGUGUGAAGGCUUAAACGAACGCUUAGUGUUUAACUCUCUCACCAAUACUCUUGGCCCUAGGAAGCUUCUCCAUACUGGUGUGCUACAUAAGGCGAAGAGUAAACGUGAGCUAGUGGCAUUUCUUCUUAGUGACUUCCUCUUACUGACAACACCAAACAAAUCGGUAUCUUCAUGUACCACUCUAGCAGCGUUGGAACGAGCCCUCAUAUCAAACUCCUGCACAAUGUACCGAAAGCCUAUGUUCUUAACAGAGUUAAGAGUAGAAGCUGACAAGGAUUCAGAAACAUACUACACUCUAAUAAGUCCUGGUUGUGGUGAUGUCACAGUGUCAGCACCAACUACACACGAACGUAAUAAUUGGCUAAAAAAGAUCGCCAUAGCACAAAAGCACAUUAAUGAUACUGAAAGAUCUAUUCUUCAUCGACAGAAAUCCAUUUUGCCUAAUGCUGGACUGAUAGCAAAUGGUGAGCGUGUAUUUUAUAUUUAAAGCAAAGUGGAGAAUUUUAGGAUGAGCAUUACAGUGUGAAUUUUUAUUGUCCUCUAACUACCCUUGCAGGAGGAAAUUAAUUAGAAUCAUGAUACUUCUGCAUCAUGUCCUCAUCACAUUAUUAUUUCUGCAUGUCUUUUUCAGAACAAUUGUUAUGUCUUGAUUUGUUCUGCAUGAUUUAUACUAAUGAUUUAAUAUUGUGUGCAGGUGAACUAUAGAGGAUUGGUAAUUUUUCCCAUCUUUAGUUUAGGAAAAGAGAUGGUUUUAGAAUAAGUAAUUGCAUUAGCUUUGUUAUGAAGAAUGUAGUUGUUAAAUUUCUUAAAUAUUAUUAAUAUCAAAGUACUGUACUUGUUCCUAGUGCUCAAUCUCUUCCAUAACUGAAAACCUGGUAUAAUCAGUAUUGAAACUAACUCCAUUACUGUAUGACUUCUAGUUGACACAAUGUAAUAGAAGAAGAGGAAGGUGCACAACACAAUAACCAUGAAAGCAAUAGAAUAGAAUAAUUUUUAUGUCACAAGCUCUGUCAUGUCUUAUUCCUAAUAUUGCUGUAAAGUGCAAAUUUCUUAGCUACUCUUCGUGUUUGAAUAGUCUGAAACAGUCAUUUACAAAAGUAUUUGUCACACUGUUUAUGACUCUCAUGAAACAGAAAUGUUGGUGCCUAUAAGGUUCUUCAAGGUUGCUGCUUCUAGGGAAAGUAACCCUGCUCAUAUCUCCCUCAUCUAGCUAAGAUGAAUUUGCUUUGAAUCAAGUUAUAUGAGUUAUGGAAUUGAAUUAGGUACACAGUUAAAAGUUUUUAACUCAGUCAAACCCCCUCCAUACUUAUGGCCAUCCACACCAGUCAGUAGCUUCACAUAACUCUUGCUGCAAAUUGUUGUUAGCUCCUGUGUGGACAACUUCUGCAUGUCAACAACACUGAUGUAUUUUUGAGUCUCAGAUCAACCUGAAGAUAAGACUCCUGUGUAUUGUCCAUUUUAACUCAUUGAACCUUGUGUUGACAUGUUUCUGCUGAAUUGCCACAAAAGUUGACCACCCCUUGGGCAAGAAUCCUCAUGCACUAUGUAAUUAAGUUGAAUAUUUUACCAACAAUUGUAAUCAGAAUAAAAAUCUACUUCGAAGUAUCUUGGUGAUAAUGAAGUGAAAAGUAAUCAUUAUUGAGUGAAUAAUCUAGAGCUUGAGAGGCUGUGUCAUACCUGAAGUGUAAGUUGAGCUGCAUUUUGCCAGACACAGAAAACAAAAAAUUAACCAGCAUUAUUACUCCUUCACUAGUGCUCCAUCAGGCUUACUUAUCUAGUAGUUGACAUUUCGUCUUUGACUUGAGUUAUUAAAGAUUUAUAGUAUUUUCCAAAUCUGAUAUUCUUUUUAUGUUGUACAGUAUACAUAUUUUCAUGAACAGAUACAUCGUCGACAAACAAAAAAUGUUUUCUGUAAAAGGCAUUCAGAUAUGGAAGUGCAGUACAGUAUUCUCAUUCUAAAUAGAAAAAAAAUUAUUUAUAAAAACAGCCGAGUUGUGUGUGUGUAUAGACAUUUUAUUACAGUAGUGGCCAAAUGUUGUUAAUACUGUAGAUAGAUAUUCAAGCUUUUAAGAGAUACAGUCAGUCCUCGACUUACGACGGGGUUAGGGACCGACGACCAGGUCGUAAGUCGAAAAUGAGAAAAUAAUACAUAGAAAAUCUAAAACGGGUGUCUCUUAUUCUUCUCAGUACCACAAAACUCUCACUUUUAAGCAUGACAGCCAUUUUAAAUGGAAUUACAAACGAAAAAUUUGUCAGUACACAGCGCAAUCACUAACGUCGGGACUCGAAAAUACGUAAUUUGAAAAAUAUUUUAUACGACUGCGGCAGUCGUAUGACCGGGUGGUCGUAAAUCGAGUAGGUCGUAAGUCGAGGAGUACCUGUACUGUAUUUCUGUUUUAGCAGUUAAUCAUAUGUAUACAGGUACAGUACUUAUAUAAAACAUAACUCAAAGCCAUGUUGUAAGUAAGAUAGGUCCACAUAGUAACAUGAAUAUCUUCAAUUGGAUCCCAAACAACAACAACAAAAAUGACCCAAGAAAAAUACCAGCUACCAGCUGGAGAGAUAUAAUUUUGAUAUUUAAUUAUAUUCACUGUGGAGUCCUUCAUUUGGCAGUGAACUGAUAUAGAUAGAUAUCUUGAUCUUGGGGCUUUGAUGGAAGCAGUUAUACCCAAGUAAGUGAAGUCGACUUGAGCGAAGCCCUUUGUGAAGCAUUGAUCAUCUAACUUGAAAGAUUUACUGUAUAGUGUAUGAAGAGCUACAGCUUGGUUAAUUCGAGGUUAUGGAUACCUAUAGCUCAUAUUUUCUAGGAAGUUUCAGGAUUACACCAAAUAAAUGUAUGGUAUUGUACAGAAAAAUUUUGGGUUGCAUUUCUUCUCUUUCCUUGCACAGUGUGAGGUUUACAUCUGCCUAGUCCUUGGAUAAUUAAUAGUAUCACUACCUCCCACUUUCUAAUUGGCUGCUGUUAACAGGAAACACCUAAAGGAUGGCAUCAAGAUAAAUAUGGAGGAUUGACCCUGAAAUCCUAUUUUCUUACAAAACCCAUCAUAGCUACGUGGUUCACAUACCUUCAGUCCCUUGGAUUUGUGGGUUAUUAGCUGCAAACUGAACCUAAAAUGGUGGAUUGACUAAACUGAAAGUGGCUGCUGUAGCUGGCACGAUAUGUUUACUGGCUAGAUAGACAUGGCUGACAUAUAGACCUCCUACCUCUAGAAGGCAACCUUUGCUUCUAAUCCACCCUUUUAAUGGAGAAAGUUACAGUGUAGAGGAAUGUAUAAUCAUAAGAUCAGCCUCAGCUACCAAUUAAUGUGUAAUCUAUUGUCCUUGCCACCCAAAAUGGCUUGCAAAUUAAUAGGAGCCUCUUAGCUAUGGAAUUAGCUAGAAAAUAGGGAUUCAGGAUCAAUCUUCCAUUUCUUCAUGUUCUGCAUCAGCUAUCCGACAUCCUGAGUGUGAAUAUCAUCCAUAUGUCAGUUUUUACCCUCUCUCCUCUUGCGGGUCACUCCACUUAGUCAUUUCCAGACUAAUCUAAUUGUGCUGUACUUGCCAAGGAAGCAGCCACUCCUUGAUAGUUGGAGAUGAUUUAGAUUUAGACAUUUGUGAGGUUAGUUGUCAUUUAUAUUUAUUAUGAACGUUUAAGUAUAUCUUCUUUUUUUCUAGAUAUUCCUGCACCAUGUUUUUUAUCAUAAUAUAGUUCCAUGUUAUCUAUUAGUUUGGUGAUGUGUCUAUAUUGAUGAAGGUGUCAUAUAUGAAAAAUUCUAUUUAUAUGUUUAAUUCAUAGACGAGUUUUGACUAUAACAAACAAAUAUUUUAUUGCUACAGCAGCUGAUUUACUGGGUUAAUUUCUUUCUUGUGUUUUAAUGUAUAUUAAAUCUUUUACAUUCACUUCAAAUGUUAUAAUUUCAUAUUUAUUUGAUUUAAAGAAGAGAAAGAUAUGAGCAUAAUGGGCCGAGUAUUAGUGACCGUCAUGGCAGGAGUCUCCUUGAAUGAGAGACAAAGUGAGGGUACUCUCCAAUCAUUUUGCGAGGUAAGUUUGGGGUCACAGGUUCACCGGACAAGCAUAGCCG